This 492-nucleotide ribosomal RNA is filed under the name uncultured bacterium. RNAcentral's name for it is "partial 16S ribosomal RNA". It matches the Rfam family "Bacterial small subunit ribosomal RNA", at positions 29 to 507 of the family's 1533-position model. The record is from RNAcentral.
AGUGAACGCUGGCGGUAGGCCUAACACAUGCAAGUCGAACGGCAGCACAGUAAGAGCUUGCUCUUACGGGUGGCGAGUGGCGGACGGGUGAGGAAUACAUCGGAAUCUACUUUUUCGUGGGGGAUAACGUAGGGAAACUUACGCUAAUACCGCAUACGACCUACGGGUGAAAGCAGGGGAUCUUCGGACCUUGCGCGAUUGAAUGAGCCGAUGUCGGAUUAGCUAGUUGGCGGGGUAAAGGCCCACCAAGGCGACGAUCCGUAGCUGGUCUGAGAGGAUGAUCAGCCACACUGGAACUGCGACACGGUCCAGACUCCUACGGGAGCCAGCAGUCGGGAAUAUUGGCCUAUGGGCGAAAGCCUGAUCCAGCCAUACCGCGUGGGUAAAGAAGGCCUUCGGGUUGUAAAGCCCUUUUGUUGGGAAAGAAAAGCAGCAGGUUAAUACCCCGCUGUUCUGACGUUACCCAAAGAAUAAGCACCGGCUAACUUCGUG